This 588-nucleotide ribosomal RNA is filed under the name uncultured Burkholderia sp. RNAcentral describes it as "bacterial SSU rRNA". It matches the Rfam family "Bacterial small subunit ribosomal RNA", at positions 329 to 910 of the family's 1533-position model. Lineage: Bacteria; Pseudomonadati; Pseudomonadota; Betaproteobacteria; Burkholderiales; Burkholderiaceae. The record is from RNAcentral.
CAGGUCACUCCUACGGGAGGCAGCAGUGGGGAAUUUUGGACAAUGGGGGCAACCCUGAUCCAGCAAUGCCGCGUGUGUGAAGAAGGCCUUCGGGUUGUAAAGCACUUUUGUCCGGAAAGAAAACCGCUUCUCUAAUACAGGGGCGGGAUGACGGUACCGGAAGAAUAAGCACCGGCUAACUACGUGCCAGCAGCCGCGGUAAUACGUAGGGUGCAAGCGUUAAUCGGAAUUACUGGGCGUAAAGCGUGCGCAGGCGGUUCGCUAAGACCGAUGUGAAAUCCCCGGGCUUAACCUGGGAACUGCAUUGGUGACUGGCGGGCUAGAGUAUGGCAGAGGGGGGUAGAAUUCCACGUGUAGCAGUGAAAUGCGUAGAGAUGUGGAGGAAUACCGAUGGCGAAGGCAGCCCCCUGGGCCAAUACUGACGCUCAUGCACGAAAGCGUGGGGAGCAAACAGGAUUAGAUACCCUGGUAGUCCACGCCCUAAACGAUGUCAACUAGUUGUCGGGUCUUCAUUGACUUGGUAACGAAGCUAACGCGUGAAGUUGACCGCCUGGGGAGUACGGUCGCAAGAUUAAAACUCAAAGGAAU